RNAcentral lists this ribosomal RNA (325 nucleotides) under uncultured eukaryote. Its description in RNAcentral is "partial 18S ribosomal RNA". It matches the Rfam family "Eukaryotic small subunit ribosomal RNA", at positions 1470 to 1796 of the family's 1831-position model. The record is from RNAcentral.
CCCUUAGAUGUUCUGGGCCGCACGCGCGCUACACUGAUGCAUUCAACGAGCCUAUCCUUGACCGACAGGUCCGGGUAAUCUUUGAAUCUGCAUCGUGACGGGGAUAGAUUAUUGCAAUUAUUAAUCUUCAACGAGGAAUGCCUAGUAGGCGCAAGUCAUCAGCUUGCGUCGAUUACGUCCCUGCCCUUUGUACACACCGCCCGUCGCUCCUACCGAUUGAGUGGUCCGGUGAGGCUUUGGGAUCUGAGCGGAAAGAGCGUUUCGCUGUUUCUGCUCGGAAAACUCAGUCGAACCUUAUCAUUUAGAGGAAGGAGAAGUCGUAACA